UGUAUAGAGAUCAUGUUAUAUAGCAAAUCAAAAUCAUACUCUUUGUAUGUGGCUAUUAAGCCGAAAAUGGUAAUGGUUGAUAAGCGUCUUGUGUUUGAAUUCUAGUUAUGAUAAUGAAAUAUGGAUGUGUCAUGAUUUACUGGUAUAUGUGCUUGAUUAUUCGGAUGAUAUUCGGGCUAAGUCCCGAAGGCAUUUGUGCGAGUAGUUGCUAUACCCAGGCUAAGUCCUGAAGGCAUUUGUGCUAGUGACUAUAUCCGGGCUAAGUCCCGAAGGC
RNAcentral lists this long non-coding RNA (274 nucleotides) under Gossypium barbadense (sea-island cotton). RNAcentral describes it as "long non-coding RNA (GBAR_LNC008809)". The record is from RNAcentral. Lineage: Eukaryota; Viridiplantae; Streptophyta; Magnoliopsida; Malvales; Malvaceae.